RNAcentral lists this long non-coding RNA (285 nucleotides) under Oryza sativa tropical japonica subgroup. RNAcentral's name for it is "lncRNA OsCMeo_03g0026140". Lineage: Eukaryota; Viridiplantae; Streptophyta; Magnoliopsida; Poales; Poaceae. The record is from RNAcentral.
AUGGUACUUAGGUCAAAGCUCCUAGUUCCAACUACCGAUUUUUAUGUGCCCAAGGGCGAUGUCCGGGUCGCCUCCGACCUCGACCGAGUCGCUGCUAUUGACUGGUCCAAGACUGUGUUCCGGGCUUUAAGCGACAGCAUUAGGUGUUGGCGCCAAAACCCGGCAUCGUCAAUAGCUUCUUGUGUCGUAUUCCUCGUGAUGUUUACUAAGGACAUCGUGGAUAAGCUCGUUGCUGCUGAUCAGGAAGCAAGCAGGGACGGCAUGCCGCCUUUUGGCAACCUCCCC